Molecule: long non-coding RNA, 2892 nt
Organism: Leucoraja erinaceus (little skate)
Lineage: Eukaryota; Metazoa; Chordata; Chondrichthyes; Rajiformes; Rajidae
Exons: 3
Source: RefSeq, a predicted model, not a curated record
GGUCUUCACAUGCUGCUCACAAGAUCUGUACUAACUUCCUCCUCGACUGCUCUGCCCAGAGGAUCGUACAACCCCCGGUGAAUGCAGCGGGGAAGGAAAAGACAGAAACAUUUCUCACACACAUACACGAAAGUGGUCCAGAGCGGAGUGGAGGGCAAGCGAGAUCGCAUCCACCGUUGAUCUGAUGUGGCGGUGGAUACAGGCUAGAGAUCCUUGAUCGGCAGAAGUGUGGACUAAGUGUCCAAGGCAAGAGGUGAAAAGAGGACAGAAGGUCGUCAGAUAAGGGAAGAAGACGAGAAAUAAAUCUCCUAACAGUUUGAAGAAGGCCCCAACCCGAAACUUCAUCGGCCCAUUCCUUUCACAGAUGCUGCCUGCGCUGCUGAGUUCCUCCAGUACUUUAUAUUUUAUAUAUUUAUUUUUCAGCCAUUUUUUGCAGUUUCACUUAAGGGCAUUUCACUUCAGAUCAUUUCACUUCCAGACAUUUCUCCUGAGGACUUGGCUAAAUAUUUGUUGAAUGGAUUUUUGUCUCCUUGUUUCUAGAUUUUUGUUUUCGCUAAUUUUGAUUGCUUUUUGUGUGGGUUACAACACCAUUUGCUUUAUGUGAAACACUAAAUCAGUUCUUCAUGACCUAGCUGAAAUAGAAUCAGGUUCCUGUAGCCAAUGAGUCUGUCAAAAUAUACAAAUUUAGUGCUGGGAUCCUUAAGAAGCGAGAGAGAGAUGAAGGCUGUACAGGUAUUGAUCACAAAAAGAAUUUGAUAUUAAAUGAGGUGGCUGACAAAACAUUGACAUUAAGCUCAACUAUAUCAAUGCACAUUUACAAAGAAAGCACAAAUGUCAAAUCGUUGACUCAAUUUCUUGGCAUGUGCAGACAAAUUGUAAAUCUUGACUAUAUUUUCAGAAAUUAGACAAAGACUUAACUUGGCAAAUUUACAUCAUGGAAACUUAAUUUUCCAUUGGUCUGAAUUCUAAUGUUCCUUACUAGCAUGGGAUACUAUAAAUAUUAUUGCAUAUACAUCUUCUGCUUGAAACAGACAUAAGAAUCGAACAGUUUGUUCACACAGAGUCCAUGCAGAACAUGAAGCACCCAUUAACCCCAUUCCUAUAAUGCCAUUUUAUUCUCCCACAUCUCCAAGAACACAAUGGCACCAUAUCAAGUGUGCAUAAAUGUCACCCAAUGGAACUUGGACAGUUCUUAAAACAUGAAUAAAUUAGAAAAAAAACUAUUAAAAAUAUUUAAUUUCUUGUCACCUUUUCAAAAAACUUGUUAGUGAGACAUGACCUACUGCGUAUAAAGCCACACAUGCUAUCCCUAAUUAGCCCUUUCACCUUCAAAUGGGAGUAAAUCCUAACUUGAAGAAUUUUCUCCUGCAGUUCCCUACCACUGAUGUGAGUCUCCCGACCUAUAGUUCCUGGAUUCUACUCUACUUCCUUUCUUAAACAAAGGAACAACAUUGGCCUCUCUCCAGUCCACUGGGAUCUUGCUAAUGACUAGAGAAGAAAGAAAGAUCCUUGUCAAGGCCUUCACAAUCUCCUUUCUUGCCUCCCUCAAUAACCGAGGAGAGAUCCCAACAAGCCCUGAAGACAUAUGUUCUUCAAGAGCAUCAGCCCAUUUCCUUAUCGAUCUCAAACCUGCCCUAACAUAUCAUCAAAAAGGAGUUACAGAAGCCUGAGGACCAUAUCACCAGGUUCAGGAAUAGCUACUUUCCUAAUAACAUCAUAUGUUUGAACUGACCUGCAUAACCCUAAUCUUACCUUAGUGAUGGAACAUUGCAGACCAUCAUUUGCACUACCAGGGACAUGUUUUGUAAUUGUGUUUUUGCACUAAUUUAAUGUAUUGUUUGUUGGAGUCUUUUCCUUUUCACUGUCUUAUAUAAUUUGUGUGAUUUAUAUAUAGUUUAUGUAUAAUUUAAGUUUUACAUGGUGUUUGAAUCUGUCCCUCUAAUACUAUGGAAACCAAGAUUUACCUUGUAUUUGUUUCUUACUGUAUUUGUAUAUUUAAAAAAAAAAAAAAACUUAACUUGAGCAAGACGGGCAGACGUAAUGAUUAGUUUGGCACAUAUAGUGUUACAGCUGCAGAGAAAGUGCAGAUAAUAAAAUACAAAUGCUGCGACAAGGUAGGUUGGAAGAUUGAAAUUCAUCCUUAGCCCGAGAGAUCCAUUCAAGAGUCUAAUAACGAUGUAGAAGAGCAAACUUGAAGAGCAAUUUUGAAACUCCCUCCAAGUCUUUUAACUCUAUACUUACACCCUUCAGUGCAUAUACCACAGCAGCUAAUUAAAAACUGAAUUAAAGUUGCAACACUAUUAUCCCUUACUUUCAAAACCCUGCUCACCUGAUGGCUACAUCUGGUUUUAGUUCUGAUUGAGACGUAUCUUUAUUUUCCCACCAAAAGUUAAUGUCAUGGCUAUCUGCUCAUACACCGAUAAAGUACAUUGUGGGAAUAUGACUAUCAACUGAAUCCAAUAAUUUUUGGUCUUUCCAGAGCUUUCAGAAGAUUGGUGAUGUCUUAUAAGAAUAUUAAUUUUAAAACCGUAUCUCCAAGUAGUUACUAUUUUAGCUGAUUUAUGACAUUUUCAAAAGAAGGCAGGAAAUUGAGCAGAUCAUUCAUUUCAUUGCUUCAAAUUCUAAAAUCAGUUAAGAUCACAUAGUGGGUAUUAAAUAUUGUGAAUCAGGUUUCAAAUAUAUCCAAGGAAAAAUACAGUAACUGAAUUCACAGAAAGAUUUAAUGGUAAAUGUGAAGUUAUUGUUUAUACUCAUUAUUCUAGUUUUAACUAGUUUAGACCUAAAUCUUAUCAGUUGCAUGCAUCAGUUGGUAGAUGCAUAAUUACUUUGAAUCAUUAUAGAUAAUGUGAAGCAGAUUUAGGCUUACUUUCAAUGGGAGUCUAAAAAUCACUU